Molecule: non-coding RNA, 871 nt
Filed under: Membranipora grandicella
Lineage: Eukaryota; Metazoa; Bryozoa; Gymnolaemata; Cheilostomatida; Membraniporidae
Source: RNAcentral
CAAAAGUUUUACUCCAGCUUCAAAAUUAAGCGUAUUUUUGAUUUAUACAUGCAAGUUCUCGCGGUCCAAAUGAUUUAAAAAGUUAAAACAAAAAAGAAAAAGAGCUCAACUAAUAAUAACCUCUUUAACUCAUUUAAUGCAGUAUAAAAAAUUAGAAAAAAAGCAAAAGCUUGAACUAGUUUAAAAAUGAAAGUGUUGGAAAAUUAAGUGCCAGCAUCCGCGGUUACACUUUAAAACACAAGUUUAAUCCUUAGGUAAUGUGGUAAAAUAAUUAAAAAAGAAGAAAAAAUUUAAAUGUAACGGACAAAUGAACUAAAUUUAAACACUCCUUAUCUUCUAAAAAAUAAUCCACGAAAGUUGAAAAAAGAACCAGAAUUAGAUACUCUGUUACUUCCAAUUGUAAAAAUUUUUAUACCAGGGUAUUACGAACAUUUAGUUUAAAACCUAAAGAGUUUGGCAGUAUUAUGGUAACUCCGGGGGAAUCUGGGGUAUAACCGAUAAUCCACAUUAAUCUUUACCUUUUCUUGAACUAUUAUUUCAGCUCUUUUAUUGUCGUUUUUAAGAAGUUUAUAUAGAAAUAUUUUAGAAAUAAGCCAAAAGACUAAUCAAUCGAUUAAAACUUUUAAGACAGAUCGAAGUGAGGCUAAUGAAAAGGAAACUCCUGGACUACAUUAUUAUAUUUUAAAUGGAAAGAAUCUAUUAAAAAAUUAUCUGGAAAACGUACUCGGCAGUAAUACUUCUUUAAUAUUAAAGUAUGAAGAAAUAUCCAUAAUAUGUACAAAUCGCCCGUCAAUCCUGCCAUUUAUUAAGGUAGGAUAAGUCGUAACAAAGUAGAUGUACCUGAAGGUGUACCUAAUAAUUUUAUGUAAAA